This 497-nucleotide ribosomal RNA is filed under the name uncultured bacterium. RNAcentral's name for it is "partial 16S ribosomal RNA". It matches the Rfam family "Bacterial small subunit ribosomal RNA", at positions 28 to 507 of the family's 1533-position model. The record is from RNAcentral.
GAUGAACGCUGGCGGCGUGCCUAAUACAUGCAAGUCGAGCGAACAGACGAGGAGCUUGCGCCUCUGACGUUAGCGGCGGACGUGUGAGUAACACGUGUAUAACCUACCUAUAAGACUGGGAUAACUUCGGGAAACCGGAGCUAAUACCGGAUAAUAUAUUGAACCGCAUGGUUCAAUAGUGAAAGACGGUUUUGCUGUCACGUAUAGAUGGAUCCGCGCCGCAUUAGCUAGUUGGUAAGGUAACGGCUUACCAAGGCAACGAUGCGUAGCCGACCUCAGGGGGUGAUCGGCCACACUGGAAGUUGGACACGGUCCAGGCUCCUACGGGAGGCAGCAGUCGGGAAUCUUCCGCAAUGGGCGAGAGCAUGACGGAGCAACGCCGCGUGAGUGAUGACGGUCUUCGGAUCGUAAAAAUCUGUUACUAGGGAAGAACAAAUGUGUAAGUAACUAUGCACGUCUUGACGGUACCUAAUCAGAAAGCCACGGCUAACUACGUG